CAGAUCAGCUCACGCUAUCUAUCGGAUCGUUUUAGAAACAUUCAGGGGCCAAUCGAUCGCAAGAUCCUUGAGCUCCAUUGGCGGGAUUUCGCCGUCUUCGUUUCUCUUUCUUCGCGGACGAACACGCGCCAGGGGGCUUAGCGCUGUGCGGUUGCAUUCGGCGCUGGUCGCCGGCUGCGCGCACGCAAGAUCCCUAGUCCUAUGAAGGAUAGCGUUAGGGGCUUGUAGCUCAGUUGGUUAGAGCGCGCGCUUGAUAAGCGUGAGGUCGGAAGUUCAAGUCUUCCCAGGCCCACCAGCCUUCGCUCGCGCUAGCGAGCGCAAGGCUGCCGCGCCGAAGCCCAACGGGCGAAGGCGGGCCAGUCAGCGCGAGCUUCGGCUCGGCAAGCCACAAAGUACGAACAUCGCGCUUCGUCUUCUGGUUACGGGGCCAUAGCUCAGCUGGGAGAGCGCGUGCUUUGCAAGCAUGAGGUCGUCGGUUCGAUCCCGUCUGGCUCCACCAGAUGGUUUGAUCACCAACGGCGUAACCGUCGUCCGCGAAACAUCACUUCGCACUCAUUGGUCCGGAUGGACGGUGACGUGCGUGUUUUCUGACAUCGUAAAGAGGAGAUCGAUCCGAGUUUGGAUCAAGCGAAGCAAUUCGCCUGAACCAUUCACUAUCUCCGGGAUCAUUUCGGCGCUCGCUUUCAGUCGUGAGAUUGAGUGCGGGUUGUAAAUGAUCUCUGUUAGCGAAGCUUGACCGCCUCGCUAUCGGGCCGAUCUUACGAAGCAAGCUGGUCUUUCUAGUCAAUGUCCGGCUGCGCAAUCGCAUUCAUCGAGGAUGCGCGCCUGAGACUUCGGUCUUUGGGCAGUUGUGCAGACAACAUUCUGCCGAGUGUGUGGACAUUGAUAAUGAGAGCAAUCAAGUGCCUUAAAGGGUGUUCGGUGGAUGCCUUGGCGCUGAGAGGCGAUGAAGGACGUGCUACGCUGCGAUAAGCCGUGGGAGCUGCGA
This 988-nucleotide unclassified non-coding RNA is filed under the name Bradyrhizobium sp. ORS 3648. RNAcentral's name for it is "partial 16S-23S ribosomal RNA intergenic spacer". The stretch from base 219 to 292 matches the Rfam family "tRNA". Lineage: Bacteria; Pseudomonadati; Pseudomonadota; Alphaproteobacteria; Hyphomicrobiales; Nitrobacteraceae. The record is from RNAcentral.